GAUGAAGAACGUAGUGAAAUGCGAUAAGUAAUGUGAAUUGCAGAAUUCAGUGAAUCAUCGAAUCUUUGAACGCACAUUGCGCCCUAUGGUAUUCCGUAGGGCAUGCCUGUUCGAGCGUCAUUACACACCUCAAGCUCUGCUUGGUAUUGGGCGUCGUCCCCUAAACGGGACGUGCCUCAAAGACCUCGGCGGUGGCGUCUUUGCCUCAAGCGUAGUAAUCUUUUUAUCUCGCUUUGGAGUCGAAGGCGUCGCCCGCCGGACGAAACCUUUAUUUUUCUAUCAAGGUUGACCUCGGAUCAGGUAGGGAUACCCGCUGAACUUAAGCAUAUCAAUAAGCGGAGGA
Molecule: unclassified non-coding RNA, 343 nt
Filed under: soil metagenome
Description: partial contains 5.8S ribosomal RNA, internal transcribed spacer 2, and large subunit ribosomal RNA
Rfam family: 5.8S ribosomal RNA (bases 1-120)
Source: RNAcentral